This is a non-coding RNA of Aedes albopictus (Asian tiger mosquito), 74 nucleotides long. The record is from Rfam. Lineage: Eukaryota; Metazoa; Arthropoda; Insecta; Diptera; Culicidae.
CGUUCUGUGGCUUAGUUGGUUAAAGCACCGGUCUAGCAAAUACGAAGUCUUGGGUUCAAAUCUCACCAGAAUGC